CUCCCUGCACCCGUCCCCACAUGCAGCAGCAGAAUAGUGGGUAGAAUUGCCAGGGUAUGGGACCAUCCUGAACCCCAUCAGCAGCAAUUCCAGCGCCCCGCCCCCAACCUCAGGCAUGAAGACCAAGGUGUGUGGAAACUGUCUAUGGAUACAUGUCCCUUGACGUCUGGCCUCCACCAGGAUAUUGCCUGGGUUAAAUUCCACAUAUCUCACCCUGAAGGCAGCACUGUGAGCUUCCUUCAGCUGAAGCAAGCCCUCCUCCAUCUCUUCUAUAACGUCGUAUGUACGGGGCUCAUCGAGCAAUUUAAAUCUUUCAAAAUGAUAGAUCCAGGCUAACCCAUUCAAGAUAUUACUUGUGGUUGAUGUUAUUUUUCAAGUCAACAACCAGUUACAGUAACAGCACAGAUUAAACAAAUGAACAAGCUAUCUCUCUGCCCUGCACUGAAAUGAUAUCUUUCUUGUGCUUUGCCUCUGAAUGGACUGGACAUGAUUGCACACGGCUUUCAGCCCAGCACUCUGGAGGCAGAAGCAGGUGGAAUUCUGUGAGUCUGAGGCCAGCCUGGUCUACAAAGAGAGUUCCAGGACAGCCAGGGCUACAUAAUGAGACCCCCAUCUUGAAAUACAACCAACAAACAUUGAAGUGCGUCUUGAAUGGCUUUUAUACUUCUUGGUCUCCUAAUCUACAAACUUGUUGUGUCAAAGCCCUGCAGCUAUCAUGUGAUUAUAUCAGCUUGGUCCAGAGUUUUAGCAUCUGGCACAACUGUUCUACAUCAGUGUUUUUCACAGACAAAAUGUUGCUCGUGAAACGGAAAUAUUUAGAAUUGCUUCGACAUAAAUGUUAAAGGCUUUAUAGGACCCAAGAAAAACCCCGUUGACGUUCUGAUUAAAAUUAAGGUUCUUAUCCCUUUGGAAAUCGCUGACACUUGUGGUUAUUAAUCCCUAUGAUCCAAGGGCAUUUCACACUUCCCUGUUAGUUCAAAUGUGGCUUUUAUAACCUGUAACAAAAUGUCAUGAUUUUCUUUAAGAAGCUCCUUUAACUUCUGAUAUUUUAACAGCUAACUUUACAAUGUAAUAAAAAUAGAAAUUCCCCAAA
Long non-coding RNA from Grammomys surdaster, 1093 nucleotides. RefSeq lists it as uncharacterized. The transcript is spliced from 3 exons. The record is from RefSeq and is a predicted model, not a curated record. NCBI's taxonomy places the organism in Eukaryota, Metazoa, Chordata, Mammalia, Rodentia, Muridae.